RNAcentral lists this ribosomal RNA (458 nucleotides) under uncultured bacterium. RNAcentral describes it as "partial 16S ribosomal RNA". It matches the Rfam family "Bacterial small subunit ribosomal RNA", at positions 28 to 507 of the family's 1533-position model. The record is from RNAcentral.
GACGAACGCUGGCGGCGUGCUUCAUACAUGCAAGUCGAACGAGAAGCUGACUUCGGUCAGUGGAAAGUGGCGGACGGGUGAGUAAUAUGUAGGAAAUCUGCCUUUAGGAGGGGGACAACAGAGGGAAACUUCUGCUAAUACCCCAUAUGAGCGUAGCUGAAAUGCUAUUCUUGAAAACUCCGGUGCCUAAAGAUGAGCCUGCAUCUGAUUAGCUAGUUGGUAGUGUAAUGGACUACCAAGGCGACGAUCAGUAGCUGGUUUGAGAGGAUGAUCAGCCACAAUGGGACUGAGACACGGCCCAUACUCCUACGGGAGGCAGCAGUAGCGAAUUUUGCGCAAUGGGCGAAAGCCUGACGCAGCAACGCCGCGUGAACGAUUAAGCCCUUCGGGGUGUAAAGUUCUGUCAGUGGGGACGAAACUUGACGGUACCCACAGAGGAAGCACCGGCUAACUCCGUG